This 486-nucleotide long non-coding RNA is filed under the name Helianthus annuus (common sunflower). Lineage: Eukaryota; Viridiplantae; Streptophyta; Magnoliopsida; Asterales; Asteraceae. The record is from RNAcentral.
AUCUGUGAUACAAUCUCUUCUACAAUCUUCCGAUUUGGUGUUUCAAGUGAUUCUUAGGCUUUUGCAUCUUCUUCAUCGCCCCAUCUGGCUAUCUCUCUGUGGCGAUUCAAGAAUAUGAAGGCCAUUCAAGGAGAUUAGUGAAAAUUUUACCAGAUCCAUGAAGAAUCUGACAUCUACGGUUCCGAUUUACAGGUUUACGUGUGAUCCUGAGGUCGCCAUGUAGUAAUCGUGCCAUGUAGUCGUUGAUGAUUUAGUGCAAUCUAGAGGCACUUUUAUUGAAUGCCAGGAGCUUAAUAAGGUGGCGGUGUUACAAAUAUCUAUGCCAAUAGAUGCUACAAAACCAAUUGUUCGAACAACAAUAGGAGCCACUUCAUAUGCUCUUCUGAACACGACUCGCUUAUAUGGAGAUUAGACCAUUCCCGGGUGCAUGUACCAAUUUCUAUAGGUACUUUGGUGUUUCUAUGUCAAGGGUGUAUUAGAUGUAAU